Molecule: long non-coding RNA, 346 nt
Filed under: Vigna radiata
Lineage: Eukaryota; Viridiplantae; Streptophyta; Magnoliopsida; Fabales; Fabaceae
Description: long non-coding RNA (VRAD_LNC002912)
Source: RNAcentral
UUUAUCUUUUUCUCUAUCUUCUCAUCAUCUCUUUCUAUCUUUUCCUCAUCAACAACAUUAUCAACUUCAAAACUAGGGGCUUGACAUUCCUCCCUAUGGUUAACCUCAGUAUUAACCCUACAAUUCAAUAUCUCAUUGGAGUGAUGAAUCUGUAUCUCCAACCUUUCAUUUCUUACUUCACUCUCUUCUUUAUAGGAGAAAGAAUUUUGGAGAAGUCGUUCCAAUGUCUCGUCCAAUCUGUUGAUUUGCUCAUUCAAACAAAAUACCUGUUGCCCUAAUAGUAAUUGUUGAUGUAGUUCUCCUGCUUGUCCAUUCCAACCUUGAUCCAUGCUUGAGUGAGGUUCCC